AUUGAACGCUGGCGGCAGGCCUAACACAUGCAAGUCGAGCGAGCGGCGGACGGGUGAGUAAUGUAUGGGGACUGCCCGAUAGAGGGGGAUAACUACUGGAAACGGUGGCUAAUACCGCAUACUAUCGGAUAACCCAUAUGGGAUUAGCUAGUAGGUGGGGUAAAGGCUCACCUAGGCGACGAUCUCUAGCUGGUCUGAGAGGAUGAUCAGCCACGCUAGGACAAAGACACGGCCCAGACUCCUGCGGAGGCGGCAGUGGUGAAUAUUGCGAAGUGGACGCAAGCCUGAUGCGGCCAUGCCGCGUGUAUGAAGAGGGCCUUAGGGUUGUAAAGUACUUUCAGCGGAGAGACAUUACCCGCAGAAGAAGCACCAGCUAACUCCGUGCCAGCAGCCGCGAUAAUUC
RNAcentral lists this ribosomal RNA (403 nucleotides) under uncultured bacterium. Its description in RNAcentral is "partial 16S ribosomal RNA". It matches the Rfam family "Bacterial small subunit ribosomal RNA", at positions 30 to 526 of the family's 1533-position model. The record is from RNAcentral.